GAACUUUUUAAAACGAAUCCAUUGAUAUAAAUUUCAUAUAUGAAAAAAAUACAUAUCAAUAGAGUUUUCAUUGGUCAAAGCCUUGUCUUGACGAAACAAAAUACGCCAACCUUUGUGAAAUGAAGGAAGUAAAACAUUUGUUCUCUUUCUUGUACAUGUUCGAUGGUGUUUUGACCUCAACACCAGGUGGGAGGAACACCAAGUUACAUGUGCUCAAAACGUCUUGCUGAUAUGCCAUAUGGUAGCAAAUCUGACAUUUAGUCUCUAGGUAUGUAUGCGAAAUCACUUUUCUGAACCUAGAUAGAGAACUUGCAAUUCAACAUUUAUAUUUGUUUUGUUUCAGUAUGUUGUAUAUGCGAAAUGGCUGCUCUCAGGCCUGCAUUUAAAGCUUUGUCACGGAGCUAAGCAAAGCUGAGAUACUUUAAUUCUCAACUGAUAUAAAUACAACAUAUUUUCAACUGAGAUAAAUACAAUACAAGUCAUACUGACUACCUGCAUUUCGUGAAUAUAAAUCAACAAUAUAAGAUUCCUCUGAUUCUCUUGGACUUAAAAGGAUCCCAUAUGCAGUGAUGCCAUGAUGGCGAAUAGGUUUAACAUGUGAUGCACCUCAUUAUGUCACACUUUCAUUCUCUCAAGCAAUGCUUGGCAAGUGUGCAUUUUCUUUACUCUUCCCUCAUUUCUCAGAUUAUGCAUUUUUAUCCUACAGUAAUCCGCUAAUUGGUUUUGGCUUCAGAUCUGUUAUCAGAUUUUAUUUUUCUUCUUAUCCAGUCCCUUAUUUGAU
Molecule: long non-coding RNA, 781 nt
Organism: Brachypodium distachyon (stiff brome)
Lineage: Eukaryota; Viridiplantae; Streptophyta; Magnoliopsida; Poales; Poaceae
Exons: 4
Source: RefSeq, a predicted model, not a curated record